Molecule: ribosomal RNA, 320 nt
Filed under: uncultured Prevotella sp.
Lineage: Bacteria; Pseudomonadati; Bacteroidota; Bacteroidia; Bacteroidales; Prevotellaceae
Description: partial 16S ribosomal RNA
Source: RNAcentral
GGAGUUUGGUCCGUGUCUCAGUACCAAUGUGGGGGACCUUCCUCUCAGAACCCCUACUGAUCGUCGGCUAGGUGGGCCGUUACCCCGCCUACUACCUAAUCAGACGCAUCCCCAUCCCAUAGCGAUAAAUCUUUGGUAUUGCUCAGAUGUCCUCAUAAUACAACAUAGGGCAUUAAUCCGACUUUCGCCGGGCUAUUCCCUACUAUGGGGAAGGUUGGAUACGCGUUACUCACCCGUGCGCCGGUCGCCAUCAAAGUUUGCAAGCAAACUUCAUGCUGCCCCUCGACUUGCAUGUGUUAAGCCUGUAGCUAGCGUUCAUC